UCACUGAGAUUGCCUUAGUAAUGGCGAAUGAACCGGCAAAAGCUCAUUGCUGAAGCGUGUUAAAUUCAUUUUUGACAUGCAUUGUAGCAUUUGGGGUAACUAUUGUAUGGUGCCUGUUCGUGUGAGUUCCUUUGAUCAGGGCUUUAACCAUAGAAGGUGCUAGUCCUAUAAUCACGAAUAGUUUUGUGCUGUACAUUGUAUACCUUUCGAGUAGCGUAGUUUGAGAUUGCUACGCCAACGUGGGACGUAAACUUGUUCCAAAGCUAAAUAUUAUAACGAGACCGAUAGCGAACAAGUACCGUGAGGGAAAGUUGAAAAGCACUCUGAAGAGAGAGUUAAAUAGUACGUAAAACCGUACAGAAGAAAACGAAUGGCCGCAUUCAUCAGAUUACUUUGAAUUCAAUUUGAUCUCUAUAUGAUGGUGAUACAUGUUGAUUUGGAACUUCAACAGUCCAUUGAUGUGUUAUUGCCUAGAGUCGAAUGCAUUUUCAGAGUAUUAACUGAACCUGGAUCUAUAACAUUGAAAGCUAGUCGAAUCAGUCUAUUUUGGUAGCGAGUAUUACUCGUGUUAAAAAUAUGACUUGCAUAAAUAACAAAUUCGACUUGGCGUUAUAGGUAAACAGACAUGUUCUUUGAUUUCAGUACUUUCGAGUACGGCAUGCUAUGAGCAUUGUUGGUGUCACAUGAGUAACUAAUACCUAAACAGUAUUAGUUUUAUUCAUUGUUGAUGUCUAAUGUUUUGUGGCUGUCAAUGAAAUCGGCAAGUCUACAGGAGUUUUGAAUGCCGAGUUAUUCGACCCGUCUUGAAACACGGUCUAAGGAGUUCACUGCAUGUGCAAGAGUUCGGCUGUAUGAAAAGCCUUGCUCGUAAUGAAAGUAAAGAACAUUCUUGCAAUGUUUUAAGUGUGAUUUCUGUCAUCUGGUGCAAAUCAUGACAAUGAACGCAACACUGACAGGUUCUAUUGCCGUUGGCAAAGAGCUUAGUAAGAGUAUAUGCAAUGAGACCCGAAAGAUGGUGAACUUAAUGUGUGUAGAAUGAAGCCAGGGGAAACCCUGGCGGAAGUU
This 1065-nucleotide ribosomal RNA is filed under the name Rotaria neptunia. RNAcentral describes it as "eukaryotic LSU rRNA". It matches the Rfam family "Eukaryotic large subunit ribosomal RNA", at positions 66 to 875 of the family's 3401-position model. The record is from RNAcentral. Lineage: Eukaryota; Metazoa; Rotifera; Eurotatoria; Philodinida; Philodinidae.